UCGCUUAAUCCUGUGUUCUAAAAAUCACUCCUUCUCCCCCCUAACCCUAAUCGCCGUCUCAAUCCCUUCAUCGAUUAUCUUCCUCUCCCCCAACUCCUCCCGCAUAACGCCUCCGAUGAGAGUGCUGGUACACGGAAUUGGAAACAUCCUCUUAGUUAAUUACAAGGUAAAGUUAAGAGCAUAAAGAAAACUUUGAACGACUAAACACAGAGCACGCAACGUGUAAUGGUUUAGAGGGAAACAACCACGUGUCUGAGUGUUUUUGAUGUCCUAACCAACCUACUCAAUAACAAAUUAGCUGCCUCUGGUGUGGAGCCAAAGAUAAUUCUGGCGACAACAUCAAUGAAAAUGUUACAUCUCUGUGGGAUCUCCCUCAACUCCCACAAAAUAUGAGGGCAUUCAUAAGCCACCGUCUGGUACCGUCUAAGUGUUUAAUGCAUAUGUCUUGCAUUCUGAGCCACAUGUACAUAUUCUAGACUCACCCAACUUUCAUACAGUUUUCAAAAUUAGAGCAUUACGUACUGUCAUUUUACACCUCCACAGUCAGUCGAGUUAUUCUACACCAAUACGUGAUACUCUUACCACUGCAUCACAGGUGACCAUCAAUUACUGUACAUGUUAUUAUAUCAUUAUCAGAAGCUCUGUUUACAGCUACAGUUUUAUACAUUUAUCUUCUCAGCUUUAUGCUAUUUGUCUGUAUUUUUCUAUUAUGCACAUAGUUCUAAAACAUUCUUGAUUA
Long non-coding RNA from Brassica napus (rape), 739 nucleotides. RefSeq lists it as uncharacterized. Lineage: Eukaryota; Viridiplantae; Streptophyta; Magnoliopsida; Brassicales; Brassicaceae. The transcript is spliced from 4 exons. The record is from RefSeq and is a predicted model, not a curated record.